RNAcentral lists this ribosomal RNA (465 nucleotides) under uncultured bacterium. RNAcentral's name for it is "partial 16S ribosomal RNA". It matches the Rfam family "Bacterial small subunit ribosomal RNA", at positions 338 to 795 of the family's 1533-position model. The record is from RNAcentral.
CCUACGGGGGGCAGCAGUGGGGAAUAUUGCGCAAUGGGCGAAAGCCUGACGCAGCGACGCCGCGUGAGGGAUGAAGGUCUUCGGAUCGUAAACCUCUGUCAGCAGGGAAGAACGGGCACUGUGCUAAUCAUCAGUGAAUUGACGGUACCUGCAAAGGAAGCACCGGCUAACUCCGUGCCAGCAGCCGCGGUAAUACGGAGGGUGCGAGCGUUAAUCGGAAUUACUGGGCGUAAAGCGCUCGUAGGCGGUAUGUCAAGUCAAGGGUGAAAUCCCCGCGCUCAACGUGGGAACUGCCUUUGAAACUGUCAGACUGGAGUGUGUGAGAGGAUAGUGGAAUUCCAGGUGUAGGAGUGAAAUCCGUAGAUAUCUGGAGGAACAUCAGUGGCGAAGGCGACUAUCUGGCACAUAACUGACGCUGAGGAGCGAAAGCGUGGGUAGCAAACAGGAUUAGAUACCCUUGUAGUC